This 1341-nucleotide long non-coding RNA is filed under the name Pandoravirus dulcis. RNAcentral's name for it is "putative ncRNA". The record is from RNAcentral.
CGGAAGCGCGACGAGGUCGCCGACAAAGUCGCGGUCGGGCGCCAUCGACCCGAGCACGCGCGCCUCGGCGCCGCCGUCCGUCACGGCCACGAGGUGCACGGUGGCGCCCCGUGACCCGCGCUCGGCCAGCACGAGGUAGAGCGUGCUGUCGUCGGGAUCGCAGCGGGGGUCGGCUGCGCGCGGCCAGUCUCCCAGGAUAGCGCGUACGGUCGGGUUGCCGCGGGCGUUCAUCGCGGUGCGUCGUGCCUGGGCCGCCAUGCGACCCUCUGUGCGCCGUCGAUACAGGGCGCCGACAUUGCGCACGAGCCUGGCCAGGCCCUGGGAUCGGGUGGUCUCCUGAGCGACGAUCUCCGGGGCGGCGAAAUGCGCCUCGGGUGCGCCGACGAGGCUCGUGUACACGCCGACGACGUCUUCGAUGCCCGGCGGCCACUGCGGUCCCAAAUCGGAUGUCAGCGCAUAUUUGAUGGCGCUCGACGCCCAUGGAUCGGCGUCGAUGGCCUCCCACAUGCCUUUGUGGGCCUCGGCAAAGGCACAGCCGUCCCAGCCCUCGCCAUUGCCCCAGUCGUCAAAGAACGCCCGCUCGUCCAGACGGACGAGGAGCGGAUCAGAGGCAACCUCGAUACCUUGGUCGCUCGUGUUCCACGCGCGACAUGCCGCCUCCAGGCGUGGCGCAUAAGAGGCGGUGCGACCAUCGGCGGGCGCGUCGGCGAUGAGGCCCUCGGGCAGGACGUCGACGGCCAGCACGGCCGGUGCCGUCGCGGUGGGUUCCUCCAUCGGCCUCUUUUUUUUUCCUGGCGGUUUGCUCUCUCCAAUUCACGUCGUCGGCUUACGUGCUUUUUUGGGAGCGUCGACUUUUUUCUUGCUCGUGCUGAGGCGUCGCCAGGACCAAUCAAAAGAAAGAAAGAAAAAAGUAAAAAAAAAUGAAUCGGGAAAAGGGAAGAAAUGCGGCACUUGUCUUGUGGGGGCGGAGGCUGCGGCUCGCUCUGACGCGCGUGUGCGUGCGGGUCCUUUGGCGUGGGUGGCAACCGCCUUGCCUUUUCGUGUGGGGCCAUCUGCGCUGGUCGGCCGACCAACUCGUCGGGGCGCACAAAAAAAAAGUUGGGCGAAAACCCCGCAAACAACAACGCCGGGGAGAAAAAGGGAGCAGACCCAAAGACGACCGCUCUCGGCGCCGCCGCGCCCUCACGCAAAGAGCCAGGCAAUGUCACGGACUCAAAAACUAAAAAUCCAAGAGCCCUUGACGCGUAGUCAUUUUGUUUGUCUUUUUUAUUUUUAUUUUCAUUCAUCGGAGAGGGAAAAAAAUAAAAAAACGGGCGCCCCCUCAAGGCGCACACCGUCGCG